AUACUGCUUAACACAUGCAAGUCGAACGAUGAAGCUGGAGCUUGCUCCGGUGGAUUAGUGGCGAACGGGUGAGUAACACGUGAGCAAUCUGCCCUUGACUCUGGGAUAACUGCGGGAAACUGUAGCUAAUACCGGAUACGACGUACGGAGGCAUCUCCUGUACGGGAAAGAAUUUCGGUCAAGGAUGAGCUCGCGGCCUAUCAGCUAGUUGGUGAGGUAAUGGCUCACCAAGGCGACGACGGGUAGCCGGCCUGAGAGGGUGACCGGCCACACUGGGACUGAGACACGGCCCAGACUCCUACGGGAGGCAGCAGUGGGGAAUAUUGCACAAUGGGCGAAAGCCUGAUGCAGCAACGCCGCGUGAGGGAUGAAGGCCUUCGGGUUGUAAACCUCUUUUAGUUGGGAAGAAGCGAAAGUGACGGUACCAACAGAAAAAGCACCGGCUAACUACGUGC
RNAcentral lists this ribosomal RNA (455 nucleotides) under uncultured bacterium. RNAcentral describes it as "bacterial SSU rRNA". It matches the Rfam family "Bacterial small subunit ribosomal RNA", at positions 42 to 508 of the family's 1533-position model. The record is from RNAcentral.